CCCCAGCCCACGUCUGCUCAGCAUCCAGCACCCCCAUUGUCCUGGCCUCUUGGAAACUCCUAGGGGCUCCCAAACACCCACUCGCCAACCUUGGAAAUCUCACACACCCCAAAUUAGCCCCUAGCACCCCGGUAACCAUUCUCCAUUCUCCCCCCUCCCCCCAUCUAGCUGCCCCUCCCUGGUGCCCACCACUCACUCUUAACUCUGAAGAGGACCGCCACCCCACCUGGCGACCCAGGACCCCAACGUCAGGGACAGGGCCCCCCGCCGCCAUGCACAAACACUACACCGUCCGCUUCAUCAAGGGCGCCCUGCCCCUUCGGACCCCCACCGAACACUACUUCUUGGACCCGGAGUUGGGGCAGCAAAAAGGGUGCCGUCGCCAGUGGUGCCAUGACCCGGCGGCCCUUCAAGCCCAC
This 419-nucleotide long non-coding RNA is filed under the name Ursus maritimus (polar bear). RNAcentral describes it as "lncRNA (ENSUMAG00000023449.1)". The record is from RNAcentral. Lineage: Eukaryota; Metazoa; Chordata; Mammalia; Carnivora; Ursidae.